CUAAGCUCAUAUCACUGUGCAGGAAACUUUCCCACCUUGUUAAGACUUAACCGUCACAUUUUAAAAUGUUAUGAUUUUAAAAAUAUUUUCCAGGAAAUGAAAAAGAAACUGAAAGAGCCACUAAUACUGUGUAUGUCAACAGAGGGAAAAUCGAUCUGCAGCAUAAUUCACCAAAUGAGCAAAGCCAGGACCUAGAAAAGCUAAAAUGGAACAACGAAUCUAUCCCUUCUCAUUUUGGGGAAGAUUCUCCUGCAGCUAUGUUCUGAAUUCUUUUACUGCCAAAACUCAUGUCCUCUGGUUGUCUGGCUGGGAGACUCCUCCUUCCAUCUGAACUAUGGAAGACCUUUGGUGGUUCUUAUAACCACUGUAGGAACCAUCCUUUAGUACAGCUGCAAAGACUUGUCCAGGACAGAACUUGGAGUCAGGAAUUCCUGACCAGGUAACUAGUUCUCUAUUCCUUAGAAUAUUCUCUAGUCUCUAUUCCAAGCUGUCUCUGACAUCUCAUAAGAUAUUAUUUUUGCAAAAGAAAACUGUCUUCUAUGAUCAAACUUAAAUUCAUAAAAACAAAGGGGGAAAAAAUUUCCAAAGUGAUUUCUCCAACACUAUUUUGUACAGUCUUGUCCAUUACUCUCUUCCAGAAGUCUUUCCCUGUCUUCCUCUGAGAUGAUCUCCACUCUAUAGUGCAUCUAUCUUGUUUGUAUAUAGUUUUCUUUCCCAUUAGACUGAGAGCUCUUUGAAAGAAGGGAUUAGUUUUUGCUUUUCUCUGAAUCCUCAGAAUUUAGCACAAUGCCUAAAGUUAAGUAAGCACUUGACAAAUGCUAGUUGACUGUUAACCUGUAAAAAAGUCCCUAUAAAAAGGAUCUUAUUGUGUACAAAGUAAGCAUCCACAAUGUAUUCAAACAAACAGAUUAUCCAAUGAUAAUAACGUAGUGUUUUGACAAAAUAUACAGUGUACCGCAUAGAGAGCUAGCCUUAGAGUAAGGAAGACUUUGAUUCGAAGGCUGCCUCUAAUACUUUCUACAUCUGUGAUAUUCGAUGAAAUCACAAGUCCAAGUGCUGCUAUCUGAAUGUUCCUUUACAGUUUAGAAAGCACUUCUCUGACAACAACCUUGUGAAACAUACAAACACUAUACUUAUCUUACAGAUGAGGAAAUUAAGGCACAUGGAAGUUAAAUUACUUGCCUAAGGGUCACAUAAUGUGUAGCUCUAGGAAGAAUUCAAAUUGGGCUCUUAAAGUCCAGUUUUUCUUUGCUCUUUAAAUCUUU
This 1265-nucleotide long non-coding RNA is filed under the name Sarcophilus harrisii (Tasmanian devil). RNAcentral describes it as "lncRNA (ENSSHAG00000027487.1)". Lineage: Eukaryota; Metazoa; Chordata; Mammalia; Dasyuromorphia; Dasyuridae. The record is from RNAcentral.